Molecule: ribosomal RNA, 464 nt
Filed under: uncultured bacterium
Lineage: Bacteria
Description: bacterial SSU rRNA
Rfam family: Bacterial small subunit ribosomal RNA
Source: RNAcentral
GAUGAACGCUGGCGGCGUGCCUAAUACAUGCAAGUCGAGCGGCAGCACGGUCUUCGGACUGGUGGCGAGCGGCGGACGGCUGAGUAACGCGUAGGAAUAUACCCCAAAGUGAGGGAUAACUGCCCGAAAGGGUGGCUAAUACCGCAUGUGGUCUUCGGACUAAAGCCUUCGGGCGCUUUGGGAAUAGCCUGCGUAAGAUUAGCUAGUUGGUGAGGUAAUGGCUCACCAAGGCGACGAUCUUUAGCUGGUCUGAGAGGAUGACCAGCCAGACUGGAACUGAGACACGGUCCAGACUCCUACGGGAGGCAGCAGUAGGGAAUUUUCCACAAUGGGCGAAAGCCUGAUGGAGCAACGCCGCGUGCAGGAUGAAGGCCCUCGGGUCGUGAACUGCUUUUAUGUGCGAAGAAUAUGACGGUAACACAUGAAUAAGGGUCGGCUAACUACGUGCCAGCAGCCGCGGUAAU